GUGGGGAAUAUUGGACAAUGGGCGAAAGCCUGAUCCAGCCAUGCCGCGUGUGUGAAGAAGGUCUUCGGAUUGUAAAGCACUUUAAGUUGGGAGGAAGGGCGGUAAGUUAAUACCUUGCUGUUUUGACGUUACCGACAGAAUAAGCACCGGCUAACUUCGUGCCAGCAGCCGCGGUAAUACGAAGGGUGCAAGCGUUAAUCGGAAUUACUGGGCGUAAAGCGCGCGUAGGUGGUUUUGUAAGUUGGAGGUGAAAUCCCCGGGCUCAACCUGGGAACUGCCUCCAAAACUGCAUGACUAGAGUACGGUAGAGGGUAGUGGAAUUUCCUGUGUAGCGGUGAAAUGCGUAGAUAUAGGAAGGAACACCAGUGGCGAAGGCGACUACCUGGACUGAUACUGACACUGAGGUGCGAAAGCGUGGGGAGCAAACAGGAUUAGAUACCCGUGUAGUCC
This 450-nucleotide ribosomal RNA is filed under the name uncultured bacterium. Its description in RNAcentral is "bacterial SSU rRNA". It matches the Rfam family "Bacterial small subunit ribosomal RNA", at positions 354 to 796 of the family's 1533-position model. The record is from RNAcentral.